CAGACUGUCUGGUACUACCGUAACGUAAGACACUCUGGCGUACGUAACCCCUUACGUAAAUCAUGUAAAAAUCGUGUCAAUUUCCUGAGUUUACAUUUUUCCUGACCCAUUUAGUGUAUUUAUCAUUUGUAGUUUUAAAUAAUAUUAAAUUUAGUUUGCCUGCAGUUUAUAAUUAUUUACGUUUUACGUUUAGUUGUAUUUAUGAAUAACAAAAACUCCUCCAAAUUUUGAGUCAAAAAAUGAAAUCCCCCAGAGCCUUUAAAACAACUAUUCAUAACUUGGAAGCCAGUUAUUUGACCAUUUUAUCUGAUAAAUACAUAAUUUCCAUUUUUCAUAGCGUUAAAAACAAACUUCAUACUAAUACUUCACACCGAAUAAGACUCGGAAAAGGCCAGGUAAAAUGGUAAAACUUCUACCUGAAAUUACGAGUUACAAUGCCAUUAAAGGCGCAAAAACCAACCCCCAUUAUAAUUAAUGCGCAAAAGGCUCGUUUCAUUCCAUAAAAAGACUAUUGAAUGGACAAUGAGUUGAGUACAUCUUGUAUGUCCUAAAACAUUAAAUUUCCUACUAAAACUAAUACAGUGCUAAAAAGCAAUCGCAUCUUUAAUAGUACUACUUUUGACGGCUUUAAAAAAAAAACCUUGUGUGAGACUUUUUAAAGUAUCUAUUAGAUACUCAAGAUUAUACGUAAUCGAAUUUACUUAGAUAGAUAGAUAAAUGGAUAAUUUGUAAAGUGGAACAACAGAUAUCUUUUUGAGAUCCACGAAUUAUACUACAGAGCGAAUACUUUAAUAACAUAGGAAUGCAUUUAACAGAUCAACUUUUUGUAUAAUUACGAUUGCUAUUAUUAUGAAUAUUCUUUGACAAUUAUUUAUUAUUGUCGUGAACCUUUUGAUGUAUAGAAUAAAAACAAACUCUUUGGAAAAGACCAGAUAGCUACAGAUACUUAAUAAUCGUAAUCCAAAGUUACCCAGGCCAGCUCAUAUUUCUAGCGUAUGCAAUGCUCAAGCUGAUGAAUUUGAGCCAUCUUAGCUAGCUUAGUUAGCUUAUUUUGCUGAUCUCAAGCCCUCAGAAGUUGGAGGAAUGCAUUUUUUAAAGCCGCAUUAAGCGCUUAAAGCAGCAGCACUUAGAAUAUGGCCAAACGGAACGCAUCAUGCAGCAAAAGAAACUGUUUACCGCGUAUACAUACAUAUGUACUGAGUAAAUGCACGGGGAUGGAGUGGUGCUAGUGGUGGUGGUGGAGCUCAAUGCUGCAGUUUUCAGCCCUCUGCUCAGGUCACAGCAUUUGGAGAGCAGAGACAGAGGCAGAGGCAGGGCAGAGAAUUCGACUGCAGCAGCAUAGGACGUGGCAGACAAAGUGGCUGUGGUGCACAUAGCUCGGGGCCUAACUCAGCCCGGUGGCACUGCCGUGUGAUUUGUUCCGAUGAGAAAAUGCUCCGAAAAGACAUCUACCUUACGAAGGCAAACGCAGUUUGGAGGCGAAGCAGGGUAGGGUAUAUGGUGAGUGGAGGAGAAUGAUUGUCCGGCAUGCGCAGUGGAGGCCAUCGGAAAAAUCAAUUCAGCUAAAAGAGCGCCCGUUUCAAGGAAUUGCAGGGCCACACCAACCAAAACAACGACAACCAAAACGAGCACAACAACAACGCUAGUAAAAACAACAUUACUGCGCAACAUUUGUUGCGCCCAGGAGAAAACGGGAGGGGUUGGAGCUUGCGGUCAGUCGAAGAUGCGCCGUCGCCCAAAACCACCCAUUGAACAACAACAACCUCGAAGGUGGGUGGACAUUUUUGGGCGUCUGUAAAUUGCAUUACUGCCAUGCUUGCAGCGCUACUGUGGCUGCGGCCGUGCUUAUGUAAUACAUGUCCAAGAAGAUGACUGCGCAGUAAAUGGCCGAGUGGUCGGUGAAGAGAAACCUACCUAAAUAGCGGUGUACUCUAUGGUGUUAUACGAAUGUUGAUACUUUAAACGAAAAGUUCAAAUACAAACCAAACAGCUGAAGACUGUAUUAACAGUGAAUUACCACUUUACCCUUUGUCAAAAAAAUAGUUUUAGAUUUGCUUAGUAAGUUGCUUUGUAAGCUUAUGGUAUACUAUGAAGUACAGCAUUAAAAAGGCUCUUACAUAAUAAAUGCAUAAUUAUGUUUAUAUUUAGCAUAUCAGUGUACCAUCGCUAGGCUGGAUAUCCACCCCACAAUCUCCCAGUCAUUAUCCUGGCAAAAGUUUCUCACCGAACGUCCUUGUUUGAGGUUAUUUAUGUGUAUAUUCGGCUUUCCUGGCACAUAAGAGAAAGAAGCCACGUAUGUACGUAGCCUGCAGGAUUUUCCCGCAUUCCUUACACACUCACACCACCAUUUACAUAAGAGUUGAAAUUUCUGUAACCCUUUUUAAGCCUUCUUUUCAAUCAUUGCCGGACGACGGUCCCCUGCCAUUUCCCCACUGACUGCAGUCAAAGUUAUUUGAACCGGAGAACAUUCUCUACACUCGACUCCCUCAGGGCGUGAAAUUUAUCAACAUCAGGGAAUUGGCUGUAGGAACAGAAGGAGCAGGCAGGAGUAGAAGUUACAGAAGCAUCAGUGGUUCCCUGUAGCAUGCAAAAGUGAAGGACACGGGAAUGACAGGACGCAGGAGCACGGUAUUUUGUUAAAGGAAUUAGAUAAACAUUUCAAAGGAAGAGGAGACAUAAGAACUCAAAAAUGAAAACGGAUUUUUAAAAUUUGAUGGAACCUAAAACUUAUUUUCUUAUAUAUGUAAACUAUUCUAUAUCGCCCAUGUGGUCUAUGCAAAGGUCAUAACUAAAGCCAACAAAGAAUUAAUAAAUGUUAAAUUGAAACAUUUAAAUAACCUCAUAUCUUUAUCUAAAUAUCGCAGUAGAAUUGCAACUUUUCAAACUUACAUCUGCAGGGAAAAAUAAAAUUCGAAUUAAAAAGAAGAAUGCAGUUUUCAUUGCGACUGCUGAACCGAACCAUUGGAACCGAGAAAACGGGAUACCCUAUACCCAUUAGAAGUAUUGUUUAGAAUAAUUAAGACACCUCUCCAGCAAAUUAAAUUAUUAUUAAAUUAUUAGUUACUUCAACUGGCGACUUCAAUUAAAGUAGAUACUUCCAGUGAAUUGGUGUGACGUGUGUGUGAGGUCUGCGACAAACUCAGAGGGCAAAGUUGAAUAAAAGUUGAAGUAAGGAAAGGCGAGGAAAACCAGGGGAAGUUCUGAAAAAUUCGCGGUUCUGCCCACCCAAGCCACAGUGAUGCAACCGGAAGCAGCAAAAAAGUGGGUGGCAAAAUGGUAGAGGCUACAAAGAACAAAAACAACAACAACAAGCAGUAGCACAGCUAGGAGCACAGAUUAACUUUCCUCCUAGGCCGGUUCAAAACCAUUGAAUGAAACUUAUGCAAGGCGAGCGCCUUAGCUGGGAGAGAAAACUAGGGGAAAAUCCGGAAAAGGGCAGAGAAUUCAGCAUUGUAAUGCGCCUGCGCGCUCUAAAUUCCAGUACAUAAUCUGGACGGAAAAUGCUACAGACUACGUUACAUACUUGGAAUACAUAUAUAAAAGGCCAGGACAUUGGUUAUCUUUCAUAUCCUGGCAGCCACCCACAGCCGCAGGGCCCUAUAAACAACAACAGGAUAAAUUGCCACAAUAAAAUAACUAAAAGAUUAAAGCAAAAAAAUGAAAGACAACAUCAGAAGCUAGAAAAAAUAACAGCCUUCCUAACUUAGGGGCUAGGAUUGCCUGAAAACGGGGUCGUGGAAAUGGAAAAUGAAAGCUAUAUUAAAGACACCUACGACGCCAUGUUGAGUUAUACAGGAAGUGCCUCUGCCGCUCCUUUUCGAAGCCUUUCUGCCCUCUUUUUCCACGUCACACAACCUCUGGAGCCUAUGCCGGCAAUAAGAACUUCCAGUGCACUUUGCUGUUCCACAUGCAUUCACGAUGCUACCGAUGAAAUGGUUAUAAGCACUACCACUACCAGGGAUUUUAUAAAUAUAUCAAUGACUAUUGUUUCUAUUACGCCUAUUACGUAAAAUGUGUUGUCUAAUAUACCUUCAUCAAAUGUUUCAAGAUGCUAAAGACCACCAUGGAAUUAAUUAUAACUUGUUUAGUAAAACGAAGCCAAGUAGAAGAAGGAAGAUGAGCUAGUCGUUGGGUUAAUCCUUAGCAUACAUCCCAAAUUAAUCAAAAUACCACAUAUAAGUAAAUUGUGUAAACUAUUGCCAUAUUAUUUGAUGAAAACAAGGGAGAACGCGUUCCCCGACUAUCAGAUACUCGUUACUCAGCAAGAGCGAGUGGGAAGUAGAAAUUUCAAAAUUCUUGGCAUAUCGAAAAAAGAAAAGAAAAAUAUGAAUAAUAAUACAAUUAAUGAAAUGAUUAAGACAUAUAACAAAUUGAAAUACAUACAAAUAUUUAAAAGUUUGGGCAGUUGUGCACAGUUUGUUGGCGUUAGAGUGGGCGUGGCCUCGUUAUGCAAGUUUAAUCUGCAUGUUUCCCAAGAUCUCAACGUUCAUACAGACGGACAGAAGAACCAAUAUGGCUAGAUCGACUCGGCUACUGAUCCUGAUUAAUAAUAUUUAUUCUUUAGUUCAAGCUACCUGGUAAAUAUUUUUCAAUAAAUCUGAUAAAAUCAUUUACUCUACGAGUUACUGGUAUAAUACAAUAUACUUAACAAACAUAGAACCAUUUUGAUAAUUCAUAAAAUUUUGUUGUUGAUUUCUUUCUUUGAACCAAGUAAGAAUUUAAUUCUUUUUUCCCACAACUACCAAAUGACGAAUUUACAAACUGUAAACCGAUUAACUCACUAAACUAACUAAAUGAACUUAACUGUGACUUUUGAUUACUCUUCACUCAAAUUAAAUCAAAGAUUCGAGUUUCCCUAGCACCAGCAGAGCUCGGUAUUUCCUGCCACCAUUUAUAUUCGUUCUGGAUGGUCUUAACUUGUUUGGAUGCAUUUAAAUUAAUUCGAUUUGGCGAAAUGGAGUCCAAUGGCGACAAAAUCGCAAACUUUGUUUGCAAAACCAUUCAAGGCGACAGUGCAAUGCAAUUACAUUCACGGAGAUGCAAAUACACAUCCACUGGAUACGGAUACAAACGCACAUUGCGAAUGGGAUACAUAAUCACCUCCUUUGGGGGGCUGACAAUUUAAUUAAAAUUGAUUUUCCGAUCAAUAUUUUCCAGGGAAAUUCACAGUUGCAAUCGACGCGGCUGUAUAUGUGUUCUGUAUCUAAACUUGCAGGCGUUCUGGUUAUAUGAGUCAUAUAUACAUACACUGCAAAAUACAGAAAUGGGGGUGUGCGGUGUAUAUAUUUAACAGUGUGUAAAAUUUAAUUGUGUGUUCCUCUCAGUCUCUCCUUUGUAUACAACUGAAAUUUAAUAAGCAAUAUUUAUAUUCUUGUCGUCUAUACUUCUUUUCCAGCUACCCAUAUCCGCGACCCAUGAAGCACUUCCAGAUAAAGAUUGAUUAUAGCUGAAGUUUUCUUGGUUUUCGGUCAUUUUUUACUUUUGACUCCUUAUAUUUAAUGUUUACUGCCAUUUAUUUCAAUGCAUUGAAAGGAUUUUGGGACACACCCAAAGUAUUCCAAUGCAGCAGCCACAGCCAUGGUAUCCUUAUAAUGGCAGGAUGAUAAUUUAAAGGGGAGGUAUGGGGGGUGGGUUAAGAUCCAGGGUCCGUUUACCAUAGUCACGAGAGUCUUGGGCAAACGAAUUUGUCUUUAUUCCACAAUGGUGGUUGUGGCAAAUGGAUUCUGGAAAUGCAAUCAGUAAUGAGGAGCUCGGAAAAUUGCUUAGAAUAGAAAGCUACAUCUGCUAAUGCAAGGCUCAUAUUUUAAAAAUAUAACUUGGAAAACGAAAUUAGUUGGUAAUGAUUUUGUAUAUGUUUAUGUAUGUAAGUGAAAUUUAUGAUAAUAUUACAGUUUAAAAUUGUAUUAAAAGCAUUUCGGAGUUUUAUUUCAGACAUUCAAGUCAUCUUGUUUGAACAUUUGCAUACAAGACCCUGCUAAGGCAUCCUCUGCUCUCUUGAAAAAACUUUACCAAGCCAAAGGGUCGAAUUUAAAACUGAUGUCUCGUUUUAUAUUUUCGUGAUUGCUGUUCUUGCUUUGCUAACUCAGCCAUCAUAAAAGCAGAUGGAAUGCAGCAGGACCUUAAAAAACAUACCAAAGCCAAAAAUACCUUAAAAUGGCGGGUCAGUAUUACUUAAUUAUUUUAAUUGCAUUUUUCUCUGACACAUAUGUUUAUUUUAAUUGAAAAGAUUGAACAAGUAAUAAAUAAAUCGAAUGCGCAAUCCGGAAAAUAGGGGCGUAUGUACAACUUUAUGUAACUUUGCAAUGGCAUGAAACACAAAUACACAAUAACAUUUUC
Molecule: long non-coding RNA, 6336 nt
Organism: Drosophila yakuba
Lineage: Eukaryota; Metazoa; Arthropoda; Insecta; Diptera; Drosophilidae
Exons: 2
Source: RefSeq, a predicted model, not a curated record